This 65-nucleotide transfer RNA is filed under the name Dipodomys ordii (Ord's kangaroo rat). It matches the Rfam family "tRNA". Rfam says of the family: Transfer RNA (tRNA) molecules are approximately 80 nucleotides in length. Their secondary structure includes four short double-helical elements and three loops (D, anti-codon, and T loops). Further hydrogen bonds mediate the characteristic L-shaped molecular structure. tRNAs have two regions of fundamental functional importance: the anti-codon, which is responsible for specific mRNA codon recognition, and the 3' end, to which the tRNAs corresponding amino acid is attached (by aminoacyl-tRNA synthetases). tRNAs cope with the degeneracy of the genetic code in two manners: having more than one tRNA (with a specific anti-codon) for a particular amino acid; and 'wobble' base-pairing, i.e. permitting non-standard base-pairing at the 3rd anti-codon position. Lineage: Eukaryota; Metazoa; Chordata; Mammalia; Rodentia; Heteromyidae. The record is from Rfam by way of RNAcentral.
GGUGGCUCAGUGGUAAAGUGCUUGCUUUGUAUGCAUGAGGUCCUGGGUUCAAUUCCUCAGCACCA